CCCUUAGAUGUUCUGGGCUGCACGCGCGCUACACUGAUGCGUUCAACGAGUUUACGACCUUGCCAGACAUGGCUGGGUAAUCUUCUUAAACUGCAUCGUGAUGGGGAUAGAUUAUUGCAAUUAUUAAUCUUCAACGAGGAAUGCCUAGUAAGCGCAAGUCAUCAGCUUGCGUUGAUUACGUCCCUGCCCUUUGUACACACCGCCCGUCGCUCCUACCGAUUGAAUGGUCCGGUGAAGCGUUCGGACCGUGGCCUUUGGACGGUUCGCCGUCUGUUGGCUGCGGGAAGUUCGUUAAACCUUAUCAUUUAGAGGAAGGAGAAGUCGUAACA
This 329-nucleotide ribosomal RNA is filed under the name uncultured eukaryote. RNAcentral describes it as "partial 18S ribosomal RNA". It matches the Rfam family "Eukaryotic small subunit ribosomal RNA", at positions 1470 to 1796 of the family's 1831-position model. The record is from RNAcentral.